UGCCAAGGCUUUGACGGGUAGCCGGCCUGAGAGGGUGGGCGGUCACACUGGGACUGAGACACGGCCCAGACUCCUACGGGAGGCAGCAGUGGGGAAUAUUGCACAAUGGGCGCAAGCCUGAUGCAGCGACGCCGCGUGAGGGAUGGAGGCCUUCGGGUUGUGAACCUCUUUCGCCAGUGAAGAAGGUCCUGCUCUUUGUGGUGGGGUUGACGGUAGCUGGGUUAAUGAAGCGCCGGCUAACUACGUGCCAGCAGCCGCGGUAAUACGUAGGGCGCGAGCGUUGUCCGGAAUUAUUGGGCGUAAAGGGCUUGUAGGCGGCUGGUCGCGUCUGCCGUGAAAUCCUCUGGCUCAGCUGGGGGCGUGCGGUGGGUACGGGCUGGCUUGAGUGCGGUAGGGGAGACUGGAACUCCUGGUGUAGCGGUGGAAUGCGCAGAUAUCAGGAGGAACACCGGUGGCGAAGGCGGGUCUCUGGGCCGUUACUGACGCUGAGGAGCGAAAGCGUGGGGAGCGAACAGGAUUAGAUACCCUGGUAGUUCACGCUGUAAACGUUGGGCACUAGGUGUGGGGGGCCUUUUCCGGGUUUUCCGCGCCGUAGCUAAC
This 600-nucleotide ribosomal RNA is filed under the name uncultured Actinomycetes bacterium. Its description in RNAcentral is "bacterial SSU rRNA". It matches the Rfam family "Bacterial small subunit ribosomal RNA", at positions 266 to 856 of the family's 1533-position model. The record is from RNAcentral. Lineage: Bacteria; Bacillati; Actinomycetota; Actinomycetes.